GACGGACCACACAAACGUUAUUCGGAAUUACUGGGCGUAAAGAGCUCGUAGGUGGUUUGUCGCGUUGUUCGUGAAAACCGGGGGCUUAACCCUCGGCGUGCGGGCGAUACGGGCAGACUUGAGUACUGCAGGGGAGACUGGAAUUCCUGGUGUAGCGGUGGAAUGCGCAGAUAUCAGGAGGAACACCGGUGGCGAAGGCGGGUCUCUGGGCAGUAACUGACGCUGAGGAGCGAAAGCGUGGGGAGCGAACAGG
This 253-nucleotide ribosomal RNA is filed under the name uncultured bacterium. RNAcentral's name for it is "partial 16S ribosomal RNA". It matches the Rfam family "Bacterial small subunit ribosomal RNA", at positions 524 to 776 of the family's 1533-position model. The record is from RNAcentral.